This 186-nucleotide non-coding RNA is filed under the name Bacillota bacterium. Its description in RNAcentral is "6S RNA". It matches the Rfam family "6S / SsrS RNA". From Rfam's summary of the family: E. coli 6S RNA was the first non coding RNA to be sequenced, but its function was unknown until recently. It consists of 184 nucleotides that fold into an extended hairpin structure with a large single-stranded internal bulge. The 6S RNA specifically associates with RNA polymerase holoenzyme containing the sigma70 specificity factor. Lineage: Bacteria; Bacillati; Bacillota. The record is from RNAcentral.
UAUUUUCUGAGGUAUUCGUCAGUUUCAAUGUUGAACCUACAUUAUAAAUACGGGAGAUCAAUAUUUAAUUAAAGGAUAGUCCACGCCCUAGGUGUCGAUUGGGAGGGAAGGACCAAUUAAUUGUGCGAUCACCCACCUAUCGAGAGAUAGGUGUCAACACUGAAGCAACGGUGUUUUGGAUAAAAA